CCUACGGGGGGCAGCAGUGAGGAAUAUUGGUCAAUGGGCGCGAGCCUGAACCAGCCAAGUCGCGUGAGGGAUGACGGUCCUACGGAUUGUAAACCUCUUUUGCCGGGGAGCAAGCGUGCGUUCGUGAACGCGCAUCGAGAGUACCCGGAGAAAAAGCAUCGGCUAACUCCGUGCCAGCAGCCGCGGUAAUACGGAGGAUGCGAGCGUUAUCCGGAUUUAUUGGGUUGAAAGGGAGCGUAGAUGGGUUGUUAAGUCAGUUGUGAAAGUUUGCGGCUCAAGCGUAAAAUUGCAAUUGAUACUGGCAGCCUUGAGUACAGUUGAGGUAGGCGGAAUUCGUGGUGUAGCGGUGAAAUGCUUAGAUAUCACGAAGAACUCCGAUUGCGAAGGCAGCUUACUAAGCUGCCACUGACAUUGAUGCUCGAAAGUGUGGGUAUCAAACAGGAUUAGAUACCCUUGUAGUC
Molecule: ribosomal RNA, 461 nt
Filed under: uncultured bacterium
Lineage: Bacteria
Description: partial 16S ribosomal RNA
Rfam family: Bacterial small subunit ribosomal RNA
Source: RNAcentral